This is a long non-coding RNA of Sapajus apella (tufted capuchin), 107 nucleotides long. RefSeq lists it as uncharacterized. The transcript is spliced from 2 exons. NCBI's taxonomy places the organism in Eukaryota, Metazoa, Chordata, Mammalia, Primates, Cebidae. The record is from RefSeq and is a predicted model, not a curated record.
GGAUGCUGGGGUGGGAAGAUUGCUUAAGCCCAGGAGUUUGAAACUGCACUGAGCCAUGACUGCACCACUGCACUCCAGCCUGGGUGACAGAGCAAGACUUGUCUCAA